UACAGAGGGGGCAAGCGUUGUCCGGAUUUACUGGGCGUAAAGCGCGCGUAGGCGGAACGAUCAGUCCGGUCUGAAAGCCCCCGGCUCAACCGGGGAGGGUGGCUGGAAACUGUCGUUCUUGAGGGCGAGAGAGGAGGGUGGAAUUCCUGGUGUAGCGGUGAAAUGCGUAGAGAUCAGGAGGAACACCGACGGCGUAGGCAGCGCCCUGGACGACACCUGACGCUGAGGCACGAAAGCUGGGGGAGCGAACAGG
This 253-nucleotide ribosomal RNA is filed under the name uncultured bacterium. RNAcentral's name for it is "partial 16S ribosomal RNA". It matches the Rfam family "Bacterial small subunit ribosomal RNA", at positions 524 to 776 of the family's 1533-position model. The record is from RNAcentral.